Long non-coding RNA from Daphnia carinata, 1363 nucleotides. RefSeq lists it as uncharacterized. NCBI's taxonomy places the organism in Eukaryota, Metazoa, Arthropoda, Branchiopoda, Diplostraca, Daphniidae. The transcript has 3 exons. The record is from RefSeq and is a predicted model, not a curated record.
CGCUUUGGGAAGAGAAAGACGCUCGUCCGUUUCUUUCCGGUUUGCUAGAGAGAAAGUCUGCCGUUCCGUUUCCUUAAAAAAAAAAAAAAAACCCACACACAUUUAAAACUUCUACACUCAAAGCCAACGCCUUCCGAAAAACAAAAAUCAUUUUUCCCAGUUAGCCCGAUCGAAAAGCAAACAAGAAUCAGUGUACCUCCAACCGACGGCAAAGAUACAAAUACGACGAUUCAUUCCACCCUCGAAAAAAAAAAAAAAAUGAACAGGCCUAGUUUCGAAUCGAGCUACGGCCGCCUCAACACACACGCUCCUUACGUAAAAAUAGGUGGCGUCUAUGUCGCAGUAUAUCAAAAUUCAGCAGCAAGAAUGUAACCAAAAAUAAAGACAUUUAAACAUUCGUGGCAGCAAAAGAGGGAAAAGCGUUUCCAGGGCGUUCAUCCACCGACCACCUCAACCUCAACUGUUUUUUUUGUUUUUUUGGUCUUCGUCUGGUAUGAAAACCGCAAAACCCGGUUAAUUCCCAACGACGACAACAACAAACAGCCCUUGUGGCAUUGUAUAAACCCCCCCCCCCCCCCCCAAAAAAAAAAAAAAAAAGGAUUGAGGCCUGAAACGAUCGCAAAUAUUUUUACCAAGAUCAAACGGCGGGCAAGAAAACAAAAAUAAGACGGUCCCAAUUUAUUAGACUCCAUCUUAUUUUAUUUUUUUUUACUUCAACAUGCGAUGGUGUAAUGGUAACACACGACAAUCUGUUCCAAUGUUCCUUCACCGACAAGGGUUAAGGGUACAUCGAUAUUAUAAGACUAGGAGCUCGUAAGACUCAACGUCCAUAGAUGCAUAUGGCGUAAGGGUCUCCUCUUCUACUAAUAAAAAAAAAAGGGAUUUGUUUCAAGAGAAAGGGUCCGAUGAAAAUAAAAACAUGAGAAAAGGUAGUCGAAUGGAGUCAUAAAAAUUGGGGGGGAAAUUAAAAAUAGAAAACUUUUUUUUUUCUUUUUUUUUUUCGAUAGAUCGAGGGCCUAUUACCAUGGCUACCGCUUCUUCCUUUUUUUUUAUAUAUAUAAAAUAAAGAGCGUCGACCAGGCGGAGCAUCAGUUGGUAUUUCGGAUCUGACUAAGUCAGGCCCCACAAUCAUCUCAUCUUCAAUUUGAACGCGCAAAUUUCUUAUUAAAUUUAAAUCCCUUCAAAAAAAAAAAGAAGAAAAAAGGCAUAUUUCUCCGUUAUCGUUUCCAAAGUGUGUUGCACGCAGUCGACCCACUUUUUGACGUUCACGAAAAAAAAAAAAAAAAAAAAAACAGGGUUGUAUUUAAUCCCGGCAAAGUGAGAAAGAAAAAAAAAAGAACAUCCAUUCGGACCAGCUGCGCAA